Molecule: non-coding RNA, 69 nt
Organism: Podarcis lilfordi (Lilford's wall lizard)
Lineage: Eukaryota; Metazoa; Chordata; Lepidosauria; Squamata; Lacertidae
Source: the annotation of a GenBank genome assembly
GCAAAUCAGACCUGGUAGAGCAUGAGAUUCUUAAUCUCAGGGUUGUGGGUUUGAGUCCCACCUUGAGCA